This is an RNA transcript of Brassica napus (rape), 1929 nucleotides long. It is a transcript of the gene named DNA repair protein XRCC2 homolog, with no coding region annotated. The record is from RefSeq and is a predicted model, not a curated record. NCBI's taxonomy places the organism in Eukaryota, Viridiplantae, Streptophyta, Magnoliopsida, Brassicales, Brassicaceae. The transcript has 10 exons.
GCUCAAAGCCCAUGGAAAGGCCCAUAAUUAAUCUGCCCUGACCACCGGUCAGCCUCCGAGACCAUUCACGUCGGCGGGAAAGAGUUAGUUUGCGAUGGGAGAACACGAAGCGCGCGGCUGGAUCCGCUGCGACGAAACCGCGAAGCAGAUGCUAUCAAGAGUUCUCGGAGACCGCGCGUUCCUACUUCUUCCGCCACUCCACCGCGUGCCUCUACGCGCCGGGAACGUAGUCGAGAUCACUGGCUCGUCUCCGACUGCGAAAACUCAGAUCCUGAUUCAAGCCGCCAUCACUUGCAUUCUCCCGAAGACGUGGAACGGCGUCCACUACGGAGGAUUGGAGAAACUGGUGUUGUUUCUCGAUCUGGAUUGCCGAUUCGAUGUGCUGCGUUUAUCUGACAUGCUCAAGCAUCGUCUUCUCGAAGCUUACCGGAUAGGUAAUGGAGCAUGGUGGCAACUUGAAGAGUCUAAUGUUAAGACUCAAGACAAGUCAAAGAUUGUUUAUGAUGAGGAGUUGUAUGUUUCGUGCAUGAAGAGGUUCUUGUAUCUUCGCUGCUAUGAUAGUCUCGAGCUUUUGUCCACUCUCAAGACAUUGCAUUAUCGGAUCAGACCGCAGGAAGCAUGUGGAAGCCAAGUAGGAGUGCUUAUGAUUGAUAGCAUCGGCGCUUUCCACUGGACUGAUCGUCUAUCGUCAUCACUGGCAUUGGAUAAAAACAACAGGAAAAGUCUCUCCCUUACGAAUGUGGUGGAGACGAUAGUGCAAGAGAUGAAGAAGCUAAUGCAGGUGCAUUCACUGGUGGUAAUUGCCACUAAAGCUACAAUCUACGAAGAGAAGUACCCUACAAAUGAGAAUAAUGGGAAGCUCUCCUCAAACAAUGCCAUGCCAGGGAAUGCUUCAAGUAAAGCUCAGCAGCCUCCGUUCCGUGAAUUCAUGCCUUCCUCUUGGCAGGCAUUCGUGACACAUAAGAUAUUCAUGCGGAAGUCAGGUGAUUAUCAGUCUUCAGGACAACAAAGUUUGUCAGCAUAUUCACUUGAAUGGUUACAACCACAACUUAGUAGCAUUGACCGAUUCAUAGUAGACGAUGUAAGUAAACUCAACCAUUUCAUGUCUUGUAAGACCAUUUUACUUAGGCCCGGGCAUUUUACCCGUACCGAAGAUCCGACCCGAAAAAUCUUGACCCGAUCCGAAAUCGAUCCGAUCCUUUUACCCUAUUGGGUCUUGUUGUGAAGGACCCGCGGGUCUUGGACCCGACCCGACCCGAAUCCGAGACCCGAGUGGGGUAUCCGAAAACCUGAAACUUCUAGUAUAUAUUAGGUAUUUUUUGGGUGGAUCCGACAUGACCCGAACCGAACCCGAUCCAUAACCGAACCGAAUCCGAAUCAACAAACUCUAAUAACCCUAUUGGGUCUAACUAUCUAAGACCCGAUCCGGACCCGAGAAGAUCCGAACCGAUUCCGAACCGAGAAUUUUAAAUUAUCCUAUCGGGUCCUAAACUCUUAAACCCGAAGGACCCGGACCCGCAACGACCCGAUCCAAACCCGACCGAGGACCCCAAUGCCCAUGCCUAAUUAUACUCUAAGCAAACUCAUAUUUUGUUUCCUGUUUUCUCGUGCAGUCUGGCAUUGUCAUUGUCUCAUGAGUUAGAGAUUCCGUUUCAGAAAUCAUAACUACUGUAAGGUAGCUAUUAGCUAAGCAGCGUGCAGCAAAGUCUCCGGAUGUAAAGUUAAUGCAGAGUUUAUUUAUUUACAUCAGAAAGAGAGAGAAAAAAAGAAGUAAACCUUUGAAAGUAACAUUGUUCCUUUUACUUGAUAAGGUUAUUCUUACAAUAUGUGGAUAACCUUGUCUUAGAUAUAAAAAGAAAAAUCACACUCGCACACAUUUUGGAUUUGAAUUGGGUUGUUAUAUCUUUCUAAUAUUAUCAAAUUCUAUUA